This 583-nucleotide ribosomal RNA is filed under the name Arsenophonus endosymbiont of Bemisia tabaci. RNAcentral describes it as "partial 23S ribosomal RNA". It matches the Rfam family "Bacterial large subunit ribosomal RNA", at positions 150 to 775 of the family's 2925-position model. Lineage: Bacteria; Pseudomonadati; Pseudomonadota; Gammaproteobacteria; Enterobacterales; Morganellaceae. The record is from RNAcentral.
UCGUUUGAUUGAUUCAUAGUCAAUCGAGGCGAACCGGGGAAACUGAAACAUCUCAGUACCCCGAGAAAAAGAAAUCAACCGAGAUUCCCCCAGUAGCGGCGAGCGAACGGGGAGCAGCCCAGAGUCAACAUCAAUAUUUACCACAGGAGAAGGGUCUGGAAAAGCCGGCAAUAAAGGGUGAUAGCCCCGUAUCUAAAGCGGUAAGUGUUGUGAACUCGAAGAGUAGGGCGGGACACGUGUUAUCCUGUCUGAAUAUGGGGGGACCAUCCUCCAAGGCUAAAUACUCCUGACUGACCGAUAGUGAACCAGUACCGUGAGGGAAAGGCGAAAAGAACCCCGGCGAGGGGAGUGAAAUAGAACCUAAAACCGUGUACGUACAAGCAGUAGGAGCACCCGAAAGGGUGUGACUGCGUACCUUUUGUAUAAUGGGUCAGCGACUUAUAUUCUGUAGCAAGGUUAACCGCAUAGGGGAGCCGUAGGGAAACCGAGUCUUAACUGGGCGUUAAGUUGCAGGGUAUAGACCCGAAACCCGGUGAUCUAGCCAUGAGCAGGUUGAAGGUUGGGUAACACUAACGGGAGGACC